This 497-nucleotide ribosomal RNA is filed under the name uncultured bacterium. RNAcentral describes it as "partial 16S ribosomal RNA". It matches the Rfam family "Bacterial small subunit ribosomal RNA", at positions 28 to 507 of the family's 1533-position model. The record is from RNAcentral.
GACGAACGCUGGCGGCGUGCCUAAUACAUGCAAGUUGAGCGCUGAAGGUUGGUACUUGUACCGACUGGAUGAGCAGCGAACGGGUGAGUAACGCGUGGGGAAUCUGCCUUUGAGCGGGGGACAACAUUUGGAAACGAAUGCUAAUACCGCAUAAAAACUUUAAACACAAGUUUUAAGUUUGAAAGAUGCAAUUGCAUCACUCAAAGAUGAUCCCGCGUUGUAUUAGCUAGUUGGUGAGGUAAAGGCUCACCAAGGCGAUGAUACAUAGCCGACCUGAGAGGGUGAUCGGCCACAUUGGGACGGAGACACGGCCCAAACUCCUACGGGAGGCAGCAGUAGGGAAUCUUCGGCAAUGGACGAAAGUCUGACCGAGCAACGCCGCGUGAGUGAAGAAGGGUUUCGGAUCGUAAAACUCUGUUGGUAGAGAAGAACGUUGGUGAGAGUGGAAAGCGCAUCAAGUGACGGUAACUACCCAGAAAGGGACGGCUAACUACGUG